Lotus japonicus is the source of this 423-nucleotide long non-coding RNA. RefSeq lists it as uncharacterized. Lineage: Eukaryota; Viridiplantae; Streptophyta; Magnoliopsida; Fabales; Fabaceae. The transcript has 3 exons. The record is from RefSeq and is a predicted model, not a curated record.
GUUUACUGCAUUGCAAAUUGUUUUUUUCCCUUAAUGAUUUUCUUUCUUCGCACACAAAAGAAAUUAGAGCUACGGUAAAUUGCUUGGUGCUGCAAGAAAAUGUGGUGAAAAUCAUGAAAACAGAGGAUAUGCUUCAGAAUGGAGGUGUUUCAAUGAACAAGAUGUUAUGACUUCUUCUGCAAGGGUGAUAAUGGAAUAGCUUCUAUUCAUGCCUCUUAUGAAUGUACUGGCAACCACUAAUAUGGUAAAAUUUGUGCCCAAGCCACAUCUCCCAUGUAGAUGCAAAUUAAGGGCAUGUGUCUUGGAACUUGGAGGACCAAUAUCUUGUUAAUUUUGUUGAAGAGAAGGUAUGUAACAGGGACUCUUGUUUAGCAAUUGACAAUUAUGCUUUAAUUUGUAAUUAAUCCGGAUAAAGCCAAAAGG